GUUGCCGGGUCAGCGGUCAAGGAGGCUGGGGGGGUGUGGCCCGAGCCCAGUCAGUGGCCGCCGGCGACCUUCUUCCGCACCUGGUCCAACUUGGACCUUUCUGUGGAGACGUUGGCCCCUGGGCCAGAGCUCCAGCGGCCUCGUUAGGGCGAGCCUGGAGGCUUGGAGGAAUGAGGUGAUGCCUGAGGAGCAGAUGGGCCAAGAUUUGUGACUUCCCCAACUGCUUCUAUAGAUAGCCUUGCUAUUGUAAAGCCUAAGACUGGUCUUUGAGAUAUUCUUCAACUCUUCAACUGAUGCCAACCGGACCUGUGGACAUGCGUGGGAAUGGAUCCAACAAGCCCUGAGACCCCCUACCCAGGAAAUCCCCCAGCUGAGAAGAGGAUUUCUGCUUCCUGACCCUAUGACUUCAUCCCCAGCCCUUUGUUUUCCAAACCACCUUUCAAAACCUUAGCCCCCACAUUCUCCAGGAGAUGGGUUUGAGAAAUUACUUUCAUCUCCUGGCCUGGCUCCUUGCCAAAUAAAACUCUUUAUGCACUGCAA
Lemur catta (Ring-tailed lemur) is the source of this 540-nucleotide long non-coding RNA. RefSeq lists it as uncharacterized. Lineage: Eukaryota; Metazoa; Chordata; Mammalia; Primates; Lemuridae. The record is from RefSeq and is a predicted model, not a curated record. The transcript is spliced from 2 exons.